Molecule: ribosomal RNA, 320 nt
Filed under: Chrysosporium sp. SW068
Lineage: Eukaryota; Fungi; Ascomycota; Eurotiomycetes; Onygenales; Onygenaceae
Description: LSU rRNA
Rfam family: Eukaryotic large subunit ribosomal RNA
Source: RNAcentral
AGACCGAUAGCGAACAAGUAGAGUGAUCGAAAGAUGAAAAGCACUUUGAAAAGAGAGUUAAACAGCAUGUGAAAUUGUUGAAAGGGAAGCGCUUGCAGCCAGACUCGGCCGCGGAGGCUCAGCGGGCAUUCUUGCCCGUGCACUCCCCCGCGGUCGGGCCAGCAUCAGUUUAGGCGGUCGGUCAAAGGCCCCCGGAAUGUGUCGCCUUCGGGCGUCUUAUAGCCGGGGGUACAAUGCGGCCAGCCCGGACUGAGGAACGCGCUUCGGCACGGAUGCUGGCAUAAUGGCUGUAAGCGACCCGUCUUGAAACACGGACCAAG